GUCCUCAGUGUGCACCAUCUUCUAUCCACUGAACAGCCCUCAGUGUGCACCAUCUUCUAUCCACUGAACAGUCCUCAGUGUGCACCAUCUUCUAUCCACUGAACAGUCCUCAGUGUGCACCAUCUUCUAUCCACUGAACAGUCCUCAGUGUGCACCAUCUUCUAUCCACUGAACAGUCCUCAGUGUGCACCAUCUUCUAUCCACUAUCCAAUUUGACAGGUGGGCUCACAUAUUGCACCAUGUACAUCGCUACAUACAUACUGUUUACUAUAGCUAGAAUUGCAGCAUGUCCACCAACUCAUGGACAUUGUAAAAGGAGAUGGUUUGAGAGACAUCUCAUUUCAAGUAUUGUGAGUAAUACGUUUAUUUUUCCUGCUGGGAAAUGUAUAUGUCAAAAUGUAAUCAAGUUGUUUUGAAAUGCAUUUUCAGUUGGCAACUUUAUUGCAGUAUAUUGAAAUCAUGGUCUUGUCACACAUUGAAAUGAUAAAUGCACCACAUGGCUGGUCUGUGACAUUUCAUCAAACAGAAGAUGUCACCCUGUGUGUCUCCCCAGUUCUCCUAUUCUAGGCUCUCCUCUCCCUGUGAUGGUCUGUAACACCGUUAAGGUCUGUUCACUUGAUAUGCGCCACAACUGUAUUGCAUCGAGCCAACAAUGGCCACGGUAGGCUCUUUCAUGUUACUCUGAUCUUGCGCUGCACCCGACCAAGCAGCUCUCUGCACCUUGUGCCAAUCAAGUGAACAGGCCUUAGAAACUCCUGACUAGCAGCUGAGGUCUUUUCUUAGGGGUAAAGAAGAUCUCCACUACAUGUGUGGUGAGAUGUAUUAUUUCCGUUUCCUCUUUUGAGAUUCAAUAUACUCAUCUGAGCCUGGUCCCCCACUGCACAGAUGUAGGAUCUUAAUUUGAACCAGUUUGCUACAGCAGGAAAAUCGUCCUGCAGGAACUGGAAAUGUGAAUUAUUAUUAAUGGACAUUUUUGUAAGGAGUCAUUUGAUACAUUUUUAAGUGGAAAUCACAAACUUCAGAAUCCCUUUUAAACAUCAAAUACACUACACAAUUUACAUUUCCUGCAAUGUAAAUUGUGUAGUGUAUUUGAUAUUUAAAGGAAAGUUCUCCUGCAACAUCGUGAUAAAAUGAAGAUCUUACAUCUAUGUGUUGUAGCGAGCUCUUCUAUUGUUGUCAAGCCAUACAUGUUGUCACGACAAUGAACGCAAACACAGGAGUUGGCUAAAGCACAAACGGACUGGAGCACCAGGCUACUAUCCCUGUAGCCCCGAGUCACUUCCCCUAGCCCCUAGUCACUUCCCCUAGCCCCUAGUCACUUCCCCUAGCCCCUAGUCACUUCCCCUAGCCCCUGAAGGACCUGCAUAGGAGGGAGCAGUACUCUGCUGACUGUAAAAAUAAUCCACGUUUGAUUUGAUCAUGACUUGUGCACUGAUUUUUUUUUUGCCAAAUUCCUUAAACCUCAACUACCACUUUAAUAUAAGUAAUCAUAUAGAAACCAUAUGAGGAGAGAUCUAUAUUUAACUUUGAAUGACUCCUAGUGAGGUGAUAUUUUUAAUGCAGAGCCAUCAGAUUUAUUAACAGUUUUAACUUGUAUCAUAGCAACUGUAUAUUUUUGUAAAAGAUCACCUCAAACAUUACUGUAUUAAGCAAUCUUUUUUUCACUGAACAAAAGAGGUCAGGUAUUUUUGGAUGGUUCUCUGUGGUUCCAUUGCGUUAGACAGUUUUUGUUGCAGGGCCUGUUCUGUGUGUGUGUGUGUGUGUGUGUGUGUAAAUGAGAUUCUGUAUUUGACUAUUGGGGUUGGUACAGUUGUAUCGUGAUGUACUGUAGAGAUGAUUUCUGUCACGUAACACAACUUCAUGUCAGUCAAAGAAUGAACAACACUGCUGCUGCAUAGAAGCAACAUUAACACUAAUCUGUCAUUGUUUCAGUGGACAUUUACAGAUGUGUGUCAAUCUAAACAAUGAAACUAUAUCUGAUUAUGUGUAAUACCUCUGGUUUGUGUCUCCGGCCUACAGUAGUGGUUAGUGUUGUCUGUUGUAAAGUGUUUGCAACUUUCAUCUGCAAUUCAGGAUGCUAAACUACACUGAAGUGCUGUAUCUGUUUUGGUUUGGAAAGAGUGAUUCAUUUUGAGUUAACUUUUUGAAGGAGAUGGAAAGUGAGUAAAUGAAAUAGCAUAAUGAAGAAUUCCCUGUUUAGCUGCUAUGCACUUCUAAACUCUUCAUGAAGGCUUUACGAAUGAAAAAUGCACUUAAAUGCUUUUGGAGAUCUCAGUGAUUUCAGCCUUUUAACUUAAAAGAUUCAGCUGAGAAAACGCACUCUGCUUUAAUUUCUAUGCUAUUUGCUGUGUGGGGUAAUCGGCUCAAUGGCUCUAUGGUUUCUACAAAUGCAGCUUUAUUUCUCUAAAUGAUGUUCUGAAUAAAAUGUCCUGUGAAAUUAUAUUUCUCCCACUGUGUGGAUUUGACUUACAUGGCAUGUGAGUACAUGGCUGUCUGAGGAAUGACUGGCCUUUGUUCAUAUAACCAGGCUUUUCCUGUUUUAUAUUUGUGAGCAUCUGGACGGGACACAACGAUUCCACAACAACCAAAAGACAGUAUGGUGGAUUGUACUUGCAGUACAUAGCAACCCUUUACCGGCAGAUAACAAUAUGGUUUACAUUGACAAUACUUAUGUCUAGAUAACAUGGCUCAAAUCAUAUAUUCAUAAAAAUGUCAUCUAAAUUGUGAUUUGAAUUGGUAUGUUGGUGGCAUCGAGCGGUGGGUUAUUGACUGAUUGGGUCUACAGGGGUGCAUCCUCACCCCUUUUUACGUUGACAGUAUUUCCCAUCCCCCAGUAGGUCAGUGACGUGAGCACUAGCAUUUUGUUAAUGGUGUCAUACAGCCCAGUAAUGUCAUUGGGGUAACAACUGCCAGAUGCCUCGUACAACAGUUCAACGAAACAGAAUGUUCUGAUAAAAAUGUGUUGUCUCAUGUACCAUUGUCAUUUAUACAAAACAAAAAUAUAAACGCAACAUGUAAAGUGUUGGUCCCAUUUUCAUGAGCUGAAAUAAAACAACUAAAACCAGAUAAAAAGUAAUGGAUCAAUUAUGUUUUUAAAAUACGAUAGUCUUAGAGAACAAACAAUCAGGGUUCAUCUAAAAUGUAAAAAAUGUCAUGGCAUUGAAUUUGUUCCAAUAUUUGAGUCACUCAGAUACUCUAAGAACAAGGCAAAGCCAUGAGAAAAUGUGUAUUAUUGAAGAAAAUUGGCUUUAAAACUGAACGUGUUCUCAGCCGCAUGGUGCGGCACGUAGCCUAGUGGUUAGAGCGUGGGGACAGUAACCAGCAGGUAGCCUAGUGGUUAGAGCGUGGGGACAGUAACCGGCAGGUAGCCUAGUGGUUAGAGUGUGGGGACAGUAACCGGCAGGUAGCCUAGUGGUUAGAGCGUGGGGACAGUAACCAGCAGGUAGCCUAGUGGUUAGAGCGUGGGGACAGUAACCAGCAGGUAGCCUAGUGGUUAGAGCGUGGGGACAGUAACCGGCAGGUAGCCUAGUGGUUAGAGCGUGGGGACAGUAACCGGCAGGUAGCCUAGUGGUUAGAGCGUGGGGACAGUAACCGGCAGGUAGCCUAGUGGUUAGAGCGUGGGGACAGUAACCGGCAGGUAGCCUAGUGGUUGGAGCGUGGGGACAGUAACCGGCAGGUAGCCUAGUGGUUAGAGCGUGGGGACAGUAACCAGCAGGUAGCCUAGUGGUUAGAGCGUGGGGACAGUAACCAGCAGGUAGCCUAGUGGUUAGAGCGUUGGGCCAGUAACCGGCAGGUAGCCUAGUGGUUAGUGUUCGGUCAGUAACCGGCAGGUAGCCUAGUUGUUAGUGUUGGGCCAGUAACCGGCAGGUAGCCUAGUGGUUAGAGCGUUGGGCCAGUAACCGGCAGGUAGCCUAGUGGUUAGAGCGUUGGGCCAGUAACCGGCAGGUAGCCUAGUGGUUGGAGCGUUGGGCCAGUAACCGGCAGGUAGCCUAGUGGUUAGCGCGUUGGGCCAGUAACCGGCAGGUAGCCUAGUGGUUAGCGCGUUUGGGACAGAUACCAACAGGUAGCCUAGUGGUUAGUGUUCGGUCAGUAACCGAAAGGUUGCUAGAUCGAAUCCCUGAGCUGACAAUGUAAAAAUCUGUUGUUCUGCCCCUCAACAAGGCAGUUAACCCACUGUUCCUGAGCCGUCAUUGUAAAUAAGAAUUUGUUCUUAACUGACUUGCCUAGUUAAAUAAAGGUUACAUUAAAAAUAACCACGACAUCGUCCAAUUUAAUAUCAAUAAAAGCGUUUAUCCCUUGAGAUGCUGUCAGCUGCUGACUCAGCAGUCCAAUGCAUUUAACUGUAUAAGUGUUAACAGCAGGGGAGAUGAGUUAGUUUCCGUCUAGUGCUCUGUAUUGUCCUCGUUGCUCCAUUGAGAGUAGUCAGGUGGGUCGUUCCUCUAUUGCUAUGGAAUUUUGAAAGAAAUGUACUUCAUUUUUCUAGAUGUAUUUGGGUACAUCUUCCAAUUCCAAAUAUGGUAGCAAAAUGACUUAAUUUUAAUAAUGCAUAAACAAAGUUUAGCAGUAUAAAGGACUUGCAUUAUGUUUUAUCAUUGAUAACCAGUUCAAUACUCUGUUCAGCAGGAAAAAAUCAUGUGUUGGAAACAUCCUAAAAAUGUCUUUAGGGACAUCCUGAGCCGGGAACUAGAUAAAAACCUCUAGGAGACUAAGACAGAGCGUUCUAAAAACGUGAAUUAAACUCCUUCAAAAUGGCAUUGUAACUGUUCAGUGAGAUUUGGGCCAACCAUGGAAUAGAUAACCAUCUGAAAUGCUACUGUUGGACCAAUUGGCAGCCACCCGACAUUACCCCAUUGCCCAGUACUGACAGUUGGAACACAAACACACAGGAACACUGCUCCACAUUCAUUCCAUUUCAGAAAAGAGAUGAGAAAAGGAAGAACGGGCUCCGGCUAAAUCUGUUGGUCCUACUACAUCAAGCUCAUGUGACCCUGCGGAUGAUGUCAUAAUUGUUGCCAUUCAGCGUGUGCCAGCUGGGGUAUUCAACAGAUCGCUGCUCAUUCACCAGCCGCUCAAAGCACGGAUUGUACCCCGAGUUUGCCUCAAGACAAUGGCUGAUAAAUUGUGUAAGCACAGUGGCAGAGUAUUUGAUCAGAUCAAUUCGGGCACAAUCUAGACCUAUUCCAAAUACUAAUUAUACAGAUAGAAUAACUGCUCUGUUGUAGAUUAACUGUAUCUUUCCACCAUGUAAGUUUUACAAUGCAAACACUCAUCACUAACUGAUCUCAGUGACAGUAGAAAAAAGGGCCUUAAUGCCUUCAACAUUACAUCCCUUGCCCAAAUUGUGGAAAUUCCCCCCACCCUCCUAAAGACAGUCACUGGUGUGCUGCCAAGGCUGGCCAAUCUGCACAUUGUCCCCCUGUCCAGACCUCCUUUCAUAUGCAGAGGGAGAUUAUUCAGGGUUCAGUCUCCCCUUCAUCACCACAGCAUGACAUCAUCCCUAAAUUCACCAUGACAUAAUCCCCAAAUUCACCAUGACAUCAUCCUGAAUUCACCAUGACAUCAUCCCCAAAUUCACAGCCAUGUUGGGAUACAGACGUGGGGUCCUCAGCCAGUGCUAUUAUACACAAGGCUAUGACUGUGUCCCAAUU
Molecule: long non-coding RNA, 5648 nt
Organism: Oncorhynchus keta (chum salmon)
Lineage: Eukaryota; Metazoa; Chordata; Actinopteri; Salmoniformes; Salmonidae
Exons: 3
Source: RefSeq, a predicted model, not a curated record